GGCUCAGGACGAACGCUGGCGGCGUGCUUAACACAUGCAAGUCGAACGGUGAAGCCCUUCGGGGUGGAUCAGUGGCGAACGGGUGAGUAACACGUGAGCAACCUGCCCCUGACUCUGGGAUAACUACCGGAAACGGUGGCUAAUACCGGAUAUGACAUGCCUGGGCAUCUGGGUGUGUGGAAAGUUUUUCGGUUGGGGAUGGGCUCGCGGCCUAUCAGCUUGUUGGUGGGGUGAUGGCCUACCAAGGCGACGACGGGUAGCCGGCCUGAGAGGGCGACCGGCCACACUGGGACUGAGACACGGCCCAGACUCCUACGGGAGGCAGCAGUGGGGAAUAUUGCGCAAUGGGCGAAAGCCUGACGCAGCGACGCCGCGUGGGGGAUGAAGGCCUUCGGGUUGUAAACCUCUUUCAGCAGGGAAGAAGCGUGAGUGACGGUACCUGCAGAAGAAGCACCGGCUAACUACGUGCCAGCAGCCGCGGUAAUACGUAGGGUGCAAGCGUUGUCCGGAAUUAUUGGGCGUAAAGAGCUCGUAGGCGGUCUGUCGCGUCUGCUGUGAAAACCCGGGGCUUAACCCCGGGCUUGCAGUGGGUACGGGCAGACUAGAGUGCGGUAGGGGAGACUGGAAUUCCUGGUGUAGCGGUGAAAUGCGCAGAUAUCAGGAGGAACACCGGUGGCGAAGGCGGGUCUCUGGGCCGUAACUGACGCUGAGGAGCGAAAGCGUGGGGAGCGAACAGGAUUAGAUACCCUGGUAGUCCACGCCGUAAACGUUGGGCGCUAGGUGUGGGGUCCGUUCCACGGGUUCCGUGCCGCAGCUAACGCAUUAAGCGCCCCGCCUGGGGAGUACGGCCGCAAGGCU
Molecule: ribosomal RNA, 858 nt
Filed under: uncultured bacterium
Lineage: Bacteria
Description: bacterial SSU rRNA
Rfam family: Bacterial small subunit ribosomal RNA
Source: RNAcentral